RNAcentral lists this ribosomal RNA (74 nucleotides) under Beauveria bassiana. RNAcentral describes it as "partial 28S ribosomal RNA". Lineage: Eukaryota; Fungi; Ascomycota; Sordariomycetes; Hypocreales; Cordycipitaceae. The record is from RNAcentral.
CACCCAACUUCUGAACGUUGACCUCGAAUCAGGUAGGACUACCCGCUGAACUUAAGCAUACAAAAAGCGGAGGA